This 434-nucleotide ribosomal RNA is filed under the name uncultured bacterium. RNAcentral describes it as "bacterial SSU rRNA". It matches the Rfam family "Bacterial small subunit ribosomal RNA", at positions 957 to 1391 of the family's 1533-position model. The record is from RNAcentral.
GAACGCGAAGAACCUUACCUACCCUUGACAUGCCAGGAAGCCCGCAGAGAUGUGGGUGUGCCCGAAAGGGAACCUGGACACAGGUGCUGCAUGGCUGUCGUCAGCUCGUGUCGUGAGAUGUUGGGUUAAGUCCCGCAACGAGCGCAACCCUUGCCAUUAGUUGCUACAUUCAGUUGGGCACUCUAAUGGGACCGCCGGUGACAAACCGGAGGAAGGUGGGGAUGACGUCAAGUCUUCAUGGCCCUUAUGGGUAGGGCUUCACACGUAAUACAAUGGUCGGUACAGAGGGCUGCCAACCCGCAAGGGGGAGCUAAUCCCAGAAAGCCGAUCGUAGUCCGGAUUGUAGUCUGCAACUCGACUGCAUGAAGCCGGAAUCGCUAGUAAUCGCGGAUCAGCAUGUCGCGGUGAAUACGUUCCCGGGUCUUGUACACACC